Molecule: ribosomal RNA, 362 nt
Filed under: Clostridioides difficile
Lineage: Bacteria; Bacillati; Bacillota; Clostridia; Peptostreptococcales; Peptostreptococcaceae
Description: bacterial SSU rRNA
Rfam family: Bacterial small subunit ribosomal RNA
Source: RNAcentral
AACCAACCCUGUACAAACGGAUAAAAGACCGAAAGGUAUGCAAAAACGGGAUAAUAUAUUUGAAGGGCAUAUCUUAAAGAUCAAAGGUGAGCCAGUACAGGAUGGACCCGCGUCUGAUUAGCUAGUUGGUAAGGUAACGGCUUACCAAGGCGACGAUCAGUAGCCGACAUGAGAGGGUGAUAGGCCACAUUGGAACUGAGACACGGUCCAAACACCCAUGGGAGUCAGCAGUGGGGAAUAUUGCAAUAAGGGAGAAAGCCUGAUGCAGCAACGCCGCGUGGGCGAUGAAGGCCGUCGGGUCGUAAAACUCAGCCCUCAAGGAGGCUCAUGACGGUACUUGAAGUGGAAGCCACGACUAACUA